This is a non-coding RNA of Recurvomyces mirabilis, 93 nucleotides long. Lineage: Eukaryota; Fungi; Ascomycota; Dothideomycetes; Mycosphaerellales; Teratosphaeriaceae. The record is from the annotation of a RefSeq genome assembly.
AAGGGCGUAUUUCAGUCGGUAGAAUGCAUCGCUAUGGCUCAAGCCGCAAGGUUGGCGACGAUGAGGUCCUUGGUUCGAGUCCAGGCGCCCUUG